CAAUAGCGUAUAUUAAAGUUGUUGCAGUUAAAAAGCUCGUAGUUGGACUUGUGGUGGUUCCUGUGGUCCAAUUUUGGUACUAUCGGGGACUGCCAUCUUUGGGUGGAUCCUGUGUGGCAUUAGGUUGUCGUGCAGGGGAUGCCCAUCGUUUACUGUGAAAAAAUUAGAGUGUUCAAAGCAGGCUUAUGCCGUUGAAUAUAUUAGCAUGGAAUAAUGAGAUAGGACCUUGGUACUAUUUUGUUGGUUUGCGCACCGAGGUAAUGAUUAAUAGGGACAGUUGUGGGUAUUCGUAUUCCAUUGUCAGAGGUGAAAUUCUUGGAUUUCUGGAAGACGAACUAAUGCGAAANCANNNACCAAGGAUGUUUUCAUNAA
RNAcentral lists this ribosomal RNA (372 nucleotides) under uncultured eukaryote. RNAcentral describes it as "partial 18S ribosomal RNA". It matches the Rfam family "Eukaryotic small subunit ribosomal RNA", at positions 592 to 976 of the family's 1831-position model. The record is from RNAcentral.